Molecule: ribosomal RNA, 499 nt
Filed under: uncultured bacterium
Lineage: Bacteria
Description: bacterial SSU rRNA
Rfam family: Bacterial small subunit ribosomal RNA
Source: RNAcentral
UAGUCCACGCCGUAAACGAUGUCUACUCGGAGUUUGGUGUCUUGAACACUGGGCUCUCAAGCUAACGCAUUAAGUAGACCGCCUGGGGAGUACGGCCGCAAGGUUAAAACUCAAAUGAAUUGACGGGGGCCCGCACAAGCGGUGGAGCAUGUGGUUUAAUUCGAUGCAACGCGAAGAACCUUACCUACUCUUGACAUCCACAGAAUUCGGCAGAGAUGCCUUAGUGCCUUCGGGAACUGUGAGACAGGUGCUGCAUGGCUGUCGUCAGCUCGUGCCGUGAGGUGUUGGGUUAAGUCCCGCAACGAGCGCAACCCUUAUCACUAGUUGCCAGCAAGUAAUGUUGGGGACUCUAGUGAGACUGCCGGCGUAAGCCGCGAGGAAGGUGGGGAUGACGUCAAAUCAUCAUGGCCUUUAUGCCUAGGGCUACACACGUGCUACAAUGGCGAAUACAAAGGGUAGCGAAGCCGCGAGGUGGAGCCAAUCCCAGAAAGUUCGUCCC